This 352-nucleotide unclassified non-coding RNA is filed under the name soil metagenome. RNAcentral describes it as "partial contains 5.8S ribosomal RNA, internal transcribed spacer 2, and large subunit ribosomal RNA". The stretch from base 1 to 120 matches the Rfam family "5.8S ribosomal RNA", at positions 35 to 154 of the family's 154-position model. The record is from RNAcentral.
GAUGAAGAACGUAGCGAAAUGCGAUAAGUAAUGUGAAUUGCAGAAUUCAGUGAAUCAUCGAAUCUUUGAACGCACAUUGCGCCCGCCAGUAUUCUGGCGGGCAUGCCUGUUCGAGCGUCAUUACAACCCUCAGGCCCCCGGGCCUGGCGUUGGGGAUCGGCGGAGCCCCCCGUGGGCACACGCCGUCCCCCAUAUGCAGUGGCGGUCCCGCCGCAGCUUCCAUCGCGUAGUAGCUAACACCUCGCGACUGGAGAGCGGCGCGGCCACGCCGUAAAACACCCAACUCUUCUGAAGUUGACCUCGAAUCAGGUAGGAAUACCCGCUGAACUUAAGCAUAUCAAUAAGCGGAGGA